Molecule: ribosomal RNA, 465 nt
Filed under: Vreelandella stevensii
Lineage: Bacteria; Pseudomonadati; Pseudomonadota; Gammaproteobacteria; Oceanospirillales; Halomonadaceae
Description: partial 16S ribosomal RNA
Rfam family: Bacterial small subunit ribosomal RNA
Source: RNAcentral
CCUACGGGAGGCAGCAGUGGGGAAUAUUGGACAAUGGGCGAAAGCCUGAUCCAGCCAUGCCGCGUGUGUGAAGAAGGCCUUCGGGUUGUAAAGCACUUUCAGUGGGGAAGAAAGCCUUGGGGCUAAUACCCUCGAGGAAGGACAUCACCCACAGAAGAAGCACCGGCUAACUCCGUGCCAGCAGCCGCGGUAAUACGGAGGGUGCGAGCGUUAAUCGGAAUUACUGGGCGUAAAGCGCGCGUAGGCGGUCUGAUAAGCCGGUUGUGAAAGCCCCGGGCUCAACCUGGGAACGGCAUCCGGACCUGUCAGGCUAGAGUGCAGGAGAGGAAGGUAGAAUUCCCGGUGUAGCGGUGAAAUGCGUAGAGAUCGGGAGGAAUACCAGUGGCGAAGGCGGCCUUCUGGACUGACACUGACGCUGAGGUGCGAAAGCGUGGGUAGCAAACAGGAUUAGAUACCCCGGUAGUC